AAGAUUCUGGUACAACUUCAAACUUCUAAGCUUCUACAAUCAAACCCUAAUGCAUGCUCUCUUGCUAAGAUCAUCCAACUUUAAGUGAGAUUGAGUUAAGACCAAAAUGAUGAAGUCUUCAUGCUUGAAUCAUCUCUAAACCAUGAUCACCCUAGAGUCUUGAACUCAAAAGGAUUGAAUAAAAAUGGAAGGGUGGAAUUCGACCUUCUAGAGAGAGGGAGGAGAAAAUUCUGCCCUUA
This 239-nucleotide long non-coding RNA is filed under the name Medicago truncatula (barrel medic). Its description in RNAcentral is "long non-coding RNA (MTRU_LNC003952)". Lineage: Eukaryota; Viridiplantae; Streptophyta; Magnoliopsida; Fabales; Fabaceae. The record is from RNAcentral.